GGAGAUGUACAUAUAAAACAGUUAGUUAAAUGUGAUUCUACUAAUUCGUAAUGCGAAGGUCGUAGGUUCGACUCCUAUUAUCGGCACCA
RNAcentral lists this transfer RNA (89 nucleotides) under Klebsiella sp. WP4-W18-ESBL-05. RNAcentral's name for it is "tRNA-Sup". Lineage: Bacteria; Pseudomonadati; Pseudomonadota; Gammaproteobacteria; Enterobacterales; Enterobacteriaceae. The record is from RNAcentral.